Molecule: transfer RNA, 88 nt
Filed under: Mariprofundales bacterium
Lineage: Bacteria; Pseudomonadati; Pseudomonadota; Candidatius Mariprofundia; Mariprofundales
Description: tRNA-Ser
Rfam family: tRNA
About the family: Transfer RNA (tRNA) molecules are approximately 80 nucleotides in length. Their secondary structure includes four short double-helical elements and three loops (D, anti-codon, and T loops).
Source: RNAcentral
GGAAGGGUGGCAGAGUGGCCGAAUGCACCGGUCUUGAAAACCGGCAAUGGGAAACCAUUCGUGGGUUCAAAUCCCACCCCUUCCGCCA